This 302-nucleotide long non-coding RNA is filed under the name Pan troglodytes (chimpanzee). RNAcentral's name for it is "lincRNA". The record is from RNAcentral. Lineage: Eukaryota; Metazoa; Chordata; Mammalia; Primates; Hominidae.
CUUUCCCGCGCGACCGGCGAGGGAGGAAGAAGCGCGAAGAGCCGUUAGUCAUGCCGGUGUGGUGGCGGCGGCGGAGACUGCGGGCCCGUAGCUGGGCUCUGCGAGCAUAUAGGUUGCUGUAGAUGAAUGUUCUUAGCUGUCAUGUUUAAAAAUACUUCUGCUUCGUUACCUCAAGUGUGGCAUGCAGCAUUUUGGAAGGAAAAUUGAAGACUUGUUCAAGAAAACAUGAACAGAAGCAAAUGAUGAAAAUGAGCAUUUUACUUGAUGUUGAUAACAUCACAAUAAAUUAUGGAGAAAAAUAC